RNAcentral lists this long non-coding RNA (898 nucleotides) under Cricetulus griseus (Chinese hamster). RNAcentral describes it as "lncRNA (ENSCGRG00000025673.1)". Lineage: Eukaryota; Metazoa; Chordata; Mammalia; Rodentia; Cricetidae. The record is from RNAcentral.
UGCCGAGGAGUGACAUCUGCUCUGAGAAGAUGCUGAGGAGAAAAGCAAGCAGUACAUAUGGUCUCCUAUCGGGGCCAAAGGAGCUGGAGGCGGAUUUCUCGUGGAUGUUGGCUCAUGAGGGGGAAAAUGGCUGGAGCUUCUCUCAGCUGGCCACUAGAGUCAGCUGAUGGUGCUUCAGACCACCCACGACUGUCUACAGGAGCAGAACUUCAUAUUGGAGAAGGUGAGCAGCCACCAGCUUAUAGUAACAAGAUAAGAAACCCAAGCCAGUCAGCCAAGACGGAAAUGAGACCAUCAGUAUGAGAUGCAGCCUCUUGGUGACACUCUGAGAAGUCACCCUGACUUGUUUCGGAGGAGAAACGCACUUGUUCUAGUCUUCACAUUUCUGGGCUCCUGAAAGGGACAGUGUUAAGGAGACACUGGCUAUAUAAGAAGGCAUGGACAUCCCCUCAAAGUCUUCUAACCUUGCCAGAAGCUCAUCUGUGUGAUUCCUCCAACAGGACCACGUGGGGUCAGAAAGGUGGCCUGAAGACACUGCUAGAUACUUCCUUAGCAUCUAUAAACCUGUACGUGUGGCUCUUCAUUUUCUAAAUAGCAAGACUUCCCCAGAGCCCUGGCAGGAGCUAGAGCAUCCUCCUUGGCCCUCACAACCAAACACUAUGCAACCUGCAGGGAGUCCUUGUCCCCUUAGCGCAGGACAAUAUUUUCACAAAGUAAAAAGUAGCAAAGUAUUUUUUAAAAGCAUUGGGAGGGGGCUGGAGAGAUGGCUCAGAGGUUAAGAUCACCGACUGCUCUUCCAGAGGUCCUGAGUUCAAUUCCCAGCAACCACAUGGUAGCUCACAACCAUCCUUGAUGAGAUCUGGUGCCCUCUUCUGGUGUGCAGAUAUACAUGGAAGCA